AGAGGGGGGCAAGGGGUUUAACUGUUAUGCUGUUAUGGGGCAUUUUAAUUCUUUGUUAUCUGUUAUUCUGAAAAUAUAUUUACUGUUAGCUGUUAUUGUCUUAUUCUUUGUUAGCUGUUAUAGGACUAUUAUCUAUUUUGUUAUCUGUUAUUGUGAGAAUCUAUUUGCUGUUAACUGUUAUUGAAAAUUGGAAUGUUAGCAUUUUGACAGCCAAUCUUCCGUAGAAAUUGAAGAUAAUUGAAAAUUGUGAUUUGAAUGGAUAAUAGUCUCAUUGACACGCUUACCACAUCUUCUUACAAUGUAUAUCUAUUGGGGUCUUUCUACUGGUAAUAUCGGGUGGCCCUGUAUUUGCAGAAGAAUUUCAGUAACAUACAUCACAUAAACAUAUUAAAAUCAAUUGGAUCCAGGACAUUCCAAUAUAUAUUAUUAUUAUCCUUUGUAAUAAAUUCCGUUGUCUGUGAACAUGUAGCAUUUUGUACAAAUUAUAAUUCACUUAUUACUUGUACAAUAAC
This 512-nucleotide long non-coding RNA is filed under the name Mytilus galloprovincialis (Mediterranean mussel). Lineage: Eukaryota; Metazoa; Mollusca; Bivalvia; Mytilida; Mytilidae. The record is from RNAcentral.